This is a long non-coding RNA of Homo sapiens (human), 388 nucleotides long. Ensembl annotates it as ARHGAP26 intronic transcript 1. Its record names the gene ARHGAP26-IT1. NCBI's taxonomy places the organism in Eukaryota, Metazoa, Chordata, Mammalia, Primates, Hominidae. The record is from Ensembl.
CAUUUUAAAUGGUUAUAUAAGUAGCUAAAUAAUAUUCUCAGUUUUGCCUCUUGGCCUGCAAUGUCUAAACUAUUUACUUUAUGGCCCCUUAAGAAAAAGUUUGCUGACUUGGAGACCCCUGGGGACUUUGAAGGCAUCCACUGGGCAUCUUGGAACAUAACCACCGAGGAUAAGGGGGCACUACUUUGUUAGACUCCACAGAUGAACAAGGGUCAGUUGUCCACACUGACCACUGUGGCCAGCCUGGAUCACAUGCCUGCCCUGCAGUGAAAUCAGCAGGACACUGGACUCACCUGGGUCACUUAGGAUGGAAAAGAACUUCUCCAAGUGAACCAGAAGAAGGGGAAUGCAAAAAUUCUAGAAUAAACUGUAACUACAUAUUCCAGUC